This 583-nucleotide ribosomal RNA is filed under the name Meyerozyma guilliermondii. RNAcentral describes it as "eukaryotic LSU rRNA". It matches the Rfam family "Eukaryotic large subunit ribosomal RNA", at positions 68 to 668 of the family's 3401-position model. Lineage: Eukaryota; Fungi; Ascomycota; Pichiomycetes; Serinales; Debaryomycetaceae. The record is from RNAcentral.
ACACUGGCAUGCUUAGUAGCGGCGAGUGAGCGGCAAAAGCUCAAAUUUGAAAUCUGGCACCUUCGGUGUCCGAGUUGUAAUUUGAAGAUUGUAACCUUGGGGUUGGCUCUUGUCUAUGUUUCUUGGAACAGGACGUCACAGAGGGUGAGAAUCCCGUGCGAUGAGAUGCCCAAUCCUAUGUAAGGUGCUUUCGAAGAGUCGAGUUGUUUGGGAAUGCAGCUCUAAGUGGGUGGUAAAUUCCAUCUAAAGCUAAAUAUUGGCGAGAGACCGAUAGCGAACAAGUACAGUGAUGGAAAGAUGAAAAGAACUUUGAAAAGAGAGUGAAAAAGUACGUGAAAUUGUUGAAAGGGAAGGGUUUGAGAUCAGACUCGAUAUUUUGUGAGCCUUGCCUUCGUGGCGGGGUGACCCGCAGCUUAUCGGGCCAGCAUCGGUUUGGGCGGUAGGAUAAUGGCGUAGGAAUGUGACUUUGCUUCGGUGAAGUGUUAUAGCCUGCGUUGAUGCUGCCUGCCUAGACCGAGGACUGCGAUUUUAUCAAGGAUGCUGGCAUAAUGAUCCCAAACCGCCCGUCUUGAACCACGGACCA